AAUCAACGCUGGCGGCGUGCCUCAGACAUGCAAGUCGUACGAUUAAACUUUCCUUCGGGAAAGAUAUAGAGUGGCGCACGGGUGAGUAACACGUAAGUAAUCUACCUUUGGGUGGGGAAUAACAACCGGAAACGGUUGCUAAUACCGCAUAAUGCAGCGGCUCGACAUCGAGACAGUUGUUAGAGCAUUUAUGCGCCUGAAGAGGAGCUUGCGGCAGAUUAGCUAGUUGGUAAGGUAAUGGCUUACCAAGGCAACGAUCUGUAGCCGACCUGAGAGGGUGGUCGGUCACACUGACACUGAAUAACGGGUCAGACUCCUACGGGAGGCAGCAGGUCGGGAAUUUUGGGCAAUGGGCGAAAGCCUGACCCAGCAACGCCGCGUGAAGGAUGAAGUAUUCGGUAUGUAAACUUACGUAAAAAUGGGAAGAAUCAAUGACGGUACCAUUUGUAAGGUCCGGCUAACUACGUGCCAGCCGCCGCCGU
This 482-nucleotide ribosomal RNA is filed under the name uncultured bacterium. RNAcentral describes it as "bacterial SSU rRNA". It matches the Rfam family "Bacterial small subunit ribosomal RNA", at positions 32 to 521 of the family's 1533-position model. The record is from RNAcentral.